RNAcentral lists this transfer RNA (79 nucleotides) under Candidatus Bathyarchaeota archaeon. RNAcentral's name for it is "tRNA-Asn". It matches the Rfam family "tRNA". From Rfam's summary of the family: Transfer RNA (tRNA) molecules are approximately 80 nucleotides in length. Their secondary structure includes four short double-helical elements and three loops (D, anti-codon, and T loops). Further hydrogen bonds mediate the characteristic L-shaped molecular structure. tRNAs have two regions of fundamental functional importance: the anti-codon, which is responsible for specific mRNA codon recognition, and the 3' end, to which the tRNAs corresponding amino acid is attached (by aminoacyl-tRNA synthetases). tRNAs cope with the degeneracy of the genetic code in two manners: having more than one tRNA (with a specific anti-codon) for a particular amino acid; and 'wobble' base-pairing, i.e. permitting non-standard base-pairing at the 3rd anti-codon position. Lineage: Archaea; Thermoproteati; Candidatus Bathyarchaeota. The record is from RNAcentral.
GCCGGCGUAGCUUAGUCUGGUAGAGCAACGGCCUGUUAAGCCGUAGGUCAAGGUUGUGAGAUAACUUUCGCCACCGCCA